UACGGAGGAUGCAAGCGUUAUCCGGAUUUAUUGGGUUUAAAGGUGCGUAGGCGGAUAUGUAAGUCAGCGGUGAAACUCACAGGCUCAACCUGUGCCGUGCCGUUGAAACUGUGUAUCUGGAAUGCGGAUGCUGUGGGAGGAAUGUGUAGUGUAGCGGUGAAAUGCAUAGAUAUUACACAGAACACCGAUUGCGAAGGCAUCUCACAAAGCCGUUAUUGACGCUGAGGCACGAAAGUGUGGAGAU
Molecule: ribosomal RNA, 244 nt
Filed under: uncultured prokaryote
Description: partial 16S ribosomal RNA
Rfam family: Bacterial small subunit ribosomal RNA
Source: RNAcentral